GUGCUUUGACUUUUAAAAGUAUUGCAUCAGGGCUUCCCUGAUAUAUUUUAAACAGAGAUUCCACAGGAUUUGCUAACAGAUGGGGUGUGAGGUACAAGAGAAAGUAAAUGGUCAAGGAUGACUCAAGUUUUUGGCCUAAGCAAUUGGAAGGAUGGAGUCUCUAAUUUCCCAAGACGGAUAAAUCUGGGAAAUGAACACAUUUGAUGGAGACAAGAUCAGGAGUAUUAUUUGAAAUAUGUUGAGGUGGAGGUAUAUUGACUAGGAGUUGGAUAGAGGAGUCUGGAGUUCAGGAAAGGAAUCAUCAGCUGACCAAUAGGUGUGGGGAGUCCUAAGACUCAAUGAGAACAUGAAAGGUCUGGGAGAGAAGGAGAAACUAGGUAAGGAGAAGAAAAGCUGAGGAGACCAGAAGAGGUUAGUAAGGAAAACCACAGGCAUGUGAGGUCCUGGAGGCCAAGUGACAAAGGAUUCCAGGGAGGGGACAGGAGUCAGCCACACCAAAUCAAGUAAGAUAACUGCUGCUCAGUGAUCAUUCAGUCCUGGAACCCAAUUCGCCUGAUUCCCAAUUUUGCUGUGCUGCCAGUCUCCUUGAUGUAUCAGUAGGCACUGAAAAAGUUAGAUCUGAAAUAUUAAGCAGUCUUUCAACACUGGUUUAUUACGGAAGCCCUAAAUUAAACCAACUUUGUCCCCACAUAGAAGUGUGCCCGAUGCAGAUACUUGCUUUCUGGUGGUUUGAUUCAGCCAGGGCUUAAGGUUCCAACGAAACAUAAAGAAGAGCGGCCUAAAAACCAUUUACACUCACAAGAUAAAUAACUUACACCCGACUCCUUAGUGAGAUCAGGCCCAGCAUGCAUAUCCUAUUUCCCUUGUUGUUCUAUAUCUUGCAUCAGAGUAUUUACGUAGACACAUGAACAGUUUACUUGAGCUUAAGUUAACAUUUCUGUCAAGUUCAUGUUUACAAAUAUUACCUUCAGAUGCAUUUUUAAGCCUUUAAGAGGGAAGACGGUGGAACUGAUGUAAGAACAACGGAAGAGUUACCACAGCUUCCUGUGUGUGUCCUCUGAGUGGCAGUGAAGGGAAUGAGUGUGGGUGAUGCUCCCCCGUAUACCUGGGGUGGAGGGCUGCUUCGCCACUUGCAAGGUGGGUCAUAGACAGCAAAACCUCUACUGGAGACAGUACUAAUGUGAGCCAGGAGCCUUCUUUUACCUUUCCUGAAUGUUAACAAUAUGGAAAGCAGACAUGGAAAAUGUUAUUCUGAACACUGAGGAAUACACACUGGCCUCGCCUUCCACAUUUUGAGUUUGUCAGGUUUGGAACUAGGGUGUCUGAUAAGCUGCAUCUGAAAGGUUAACCUGGUCCCAGGUAGUCCCUAGACUUAGACAUUCAUCAGGGUAGGUAGGUUCUGAACACCCAAGUGUUGUGGAUUGGCUGAAAGUGAGCUCUAGGGAUCUUCCUUGUGGCUGACCUAAGAUUUUCUCUAGAACUGUUCUUCCAAUAAUUCCACCAGCUAGGCAGAUUUAGCACUAGGGGAAGGCAUAGAAAUCAAAUACAAUACACACAUAAAGAAUACGUAGGUUUGCAAGAAUUAAAGCCUGUCAAUCAAGAAUAGAUCUCUAUAGUUUUGGUAUACCUUCAAAAAAAAGUUUACAGUUUGGCUGAGUUAAGCCAAAGAGUUAAAGAUAUCAGAAUAAUAUGCUUGCUUUGUCUGUAUUUCUAAGAAACACUAAAAAUUAAAAUAAUAAAAUCCCUAUUAUAAAUUUUAGAAUACCACAUAUACACUGAAAAGUAUAUCUUUAAGAAUGUCAGAAAACUCAACUCUUUUAUGUAGUUAUGAUAGAAUUAAGAUCCUCUCACAAAGAAAAUUAGGUACAGCUUUUAUUGUGUUUAUAUAAUUUUACAUUAUUAAAAUGUUUUCAAGGAGUCCACUGGCCUGAAAAAACUAUAUCCUGACAUGUUGAUUCAGAAUUAAAGGUUAUUUUUAUACUUUCCUUUAUUGACUACAAUUAUGAUUUUUGAGACUGUACAUAUUUCCCCUGAGACAUGUGUUUUUCUUUGGUACACACAUUAAAUACCAUAUAAGAGAAAGUCUUAGUGGCUGUGAAAUCACACAGUAUAAAAAAAAGUAGGACACAGCAGGAUAAAACGUGACCUCAGGACAUUAAACAUUUUCGGCUCUGAAACUAAGGGACCCCACAGUAGUGGUAGUACUGACUUCCCCAUGCAUCCCCAAAGCCCUAUGUUCGGCCUUUAAUACUGUUUGUCACUAAAGGAAUAAAGUGCCUUAGGGGUAGUGGAUUCUAUGACUUGAGUUGGGAAAAAAAAUAAAAUGAGUCUGGAACAUGCUGUUGUUUUCAGAUAGCUUGGGUGCUUUUGGGAAAGUCAGAGUCUUAAAAGGACAUUGGUGUGAACAUAAAGGGACUUCCCAUUGACUGAGUUGUAAGAAUUUGCACAUCAAAAACAAGUACAGAGGUGGUCAUAACACGAAACUAAGCUGUGACAGAAGUUUAUUUUUUUAAUAAGUAGGGGAGCAGUCAUAUUGAGUAGUUUAUUUCUUCUAAUAAUUAUGUCUGCUUAUAAUAUUUACAUAUAUAGUUAUUGCUCUCUGGGUAAGCACUGAAGAAUAAACACAUGGAACUUGUAACUUGACCAAAUGAUCCUGGCAGAAGAAGGUACUAAAAAAAGUAGGGUGGAUUUAUUAGCACAAAUAAUAGGACAUAUGGUGAGAUAAUACCAGGUGGAAGAUGGCACAGACGGUCAUAUACAGUAACUAAGGAAGACGGACAAUUCAACACUGUAUUUUAAAAUGUGAAUUACUCAGUGUCCUGAAGAGACAAGUUAACUACAUGAAACUAAGUGCUCUACAAUCAAGAUUGAAAUGAAAGCUCUAGAAUACAACCAUAUUAAGUGAUAAAAAACAGAACAGAUCAAAAUACCCUAAUGGCAAAUCAAUAGGUUAGGAAUUAUCAGCCAUGCCCAGCUUCAUACCUCACUACUGCGAAAGAAACCAAGUUUCAAAGACAAUAAUUUAUAAGAAAGGAACUUAAAAGUUUACCAUAAAAAAAGUCAGCUCGACACUGUGGCUCAAGUUUGAAAUACCCUAGUCUUCACAAUCAGACCAUAUCCAGGCCAAGAAUCACCAGUCAACAACCCAGAUGCUUUGCUUUUCCUUUAGUUCUCGUAGGAAUGCUAAAACUCAGGGAAGUACUAAUACUUAAAAAUUAGGACUAUAUCACAUUAAGAGUCAUACUACACUGGGAAGUUAGUAAAGUACAGAAAUAAUGAAGAAACUACCUAAACCAUAGCCUUGAUGUUUUAGGACAGGUUUAUGGGAAUGUGCAGUAAUAACUUAUAAUCACUGCUUAUGUAUGUUGUUCAUCAGCCGCUUAAGGUGUUUGAGGAUUUCAAGACUCAUCCGUACUAAAUUUGUACUCAUAGUUUAAAAUUUUUCAGAAAAUUUAAUUAGUCAAUUUUGGAAUUAAUGUUUAAACGCUCAAGAAAAAUUGAGAUUCCUAAUUUUUUUUCUGUAUGAAUUUAAUGAAGUGAUUAGACAAAGUACAUAUAGUUUCCAGUAUUCUUCAUGUCUAAAGUCCCUCAGACAAUGAAAGAUUCUAUUAUCAUUUUCCAAAUUCGAACUUCAGAAGAGAACAUCUGUAAUUAUGAAAUCCUAACAACCCUUGCUAGAAUCUAAAAGAAAAAGUUACUCUAAAAGCAUUUAAGAAAGACAAAGCUUGAGUGGUCUUUUCCUACCAAACACAGUUAUUGCU
Long non-coding RNA from Phocoena sinus (vaquita), 3761 nucleotides. The record is from Ensembl. Lineage: Eukaryota; Metazoa; Chordata; Mammalia; Artiodactyla; Phocoenidae.